Molecule: long non-coding RNA, 2051 nt
Organism: Thunnus maccoyii (southern bluefin tuna)
Lineage: Eukaryota; Metazoa; Chordata; Actinopteri; Scombriformes; Scombridae
Exons: 3
Source: RefSeq, a predicted model, not a curated record
AGCACUUGGCGACAGCGGUAAGGAAAAACUCACCUUUAAGAGGUAGAAACCUUACGCAGAACCCGGCUCUUGGUGGGCGGCCAUCUGCCUUGACUGGUUGGGUUGAGAGAGAGAAAGAAAGAAGGGGAGGAGGGGGUGGGACAGAAUAGAUAAAAUAAACGUGUAUGUCAAUUACUGUAACAUUAGACCCUGCAGGAAACAUGUUAGUAUGUUAGUGACAUGUAUGCCAAGAUAAACUACAACCUGCAUGUUUAAAUAUAUUUUAGCAACCUGCAUCAGACUAACCUUCACUGACUGCAACUUUACAGGCAAUGAACAGAUCAGCUGUAUGACACUGGGAAGAAGAUGGUUACAUGAAUUUUGCUUUUUAGGCUGAUAAUAAAACCUUCACCUCUUUAUACCUACUGCGAGUGAUCUACAAGAAGCCGACGAGUGUUUGUCUGCUGUCAUCUCAUCAACUGGUAGAAGAUAUUCAGCUGAGCAGAUUCCCUGAUCUAGGGCAGUGAGAGACACUAGUAUCCUUAAUAGCAGGUAGAGAGGCAUUUCCAACAUAACAAAGGAUAUGUGUCCUGACAUAACUUUGAACUCUGCAGUGUCCCACAAUACGGAAAUACCAACUAAGUCACAGCAAGAGAAAAUUGACUUUCAGACAUCAAGUAUUUUGGCAUAAACAAUGUCUCUUAUAAAGAUGAUUUGGAAAUAUAUAACAAUAACAUAUUAAACAGUGUUUCACUGUUUGUACCAUCAAACAUAGCUGCUGUUGGGUACAUGAUACAAAGGCAGGCCUACAUGCAGUCAUAAAGCCUGAUAACAAAGAAAGGCACCAAGUCAAACAAAAGGAGUCCAAACGGACUUCAGCUCCCAUUAUGCUUCGCUCAACCCACACAUAGGUGUGAUAUCUGGUAGAGUCAAACUCUCGGCUCCCGUUGGACGAGACCCCCUGGAAAUGCACACAGAUUCUUCCUCCCUUCCAUGACAUCACCAAGAGUAUAAACACUUGAGAUGCUCGCCAAACUGUGCUUUCAGCUGCAGUUUCUGCUUCCAGCUGUCUCCAUGGCUACGAGGAAGUAUCCAUAUACAUACAUUAAACUCUAAGUCGGCCACACAAUCUUGUUGGAUGACUAGAGUUUUAAUGUGUUCAACUGAGCAUAUUACUGGAUCCUAAGAAGUAGACUGCUGUGCAACACAGCACUCUCACCUUUACUGCCAAAGAAAGACAAAGGAUAACUCCUGUGCCCUGCUUGUCUUUAAGUGAGUCGACUCGCUGUUUGCUCCGCCAAGGACCAGCUGCCGUGAAACCCCCUAGAAGAGCAUGAGGAGCCCGAGGAACCAAGCCCAACCAGAAAGAUGGACUGAAACACACUCUACUCACUCCCUUAAGUGACACAAGAGGCUUAUGUCUGGGCAGACAUAGGUUACUAAAGUGUGUGUUAUUUUCAGCUUUGUUGUGAAGUUAACGGACUGUGAGUCUGGUUGUUCCUGCUGAGAAUACUGUGAAAGUAUUAUUGUUGUUUGCUGCUUGUUUUUAUAGUGUUUAUCAUGCUAAACUGGUUUGUGUUUGUCCAACUGAUUGGACUGCUUUCUGUUAGCUUGCCACCAUGUGUGAGACGAUGGGUUGCAUUUUAUUUGUUGUCAGACCGCGGCCAGUAAAUAAGGACGUUCGCACACUACGUCUCUGUGGAGAUAAAAGCAAGCACCACUUUCUCCUCACAAUCGCUGAAAUCUUUUAUUCUUUGGUGCUUUCACCCUCUUUUCCCUACUAACCUCACCUGCAUGUACACACACGCUACUCUGCAGUUGGACAUGUGUUGCUAAGCAAAAGAGAUGCUCAGCUUUGUCUGACACCAUUUUGGUGAUCAGAGGCACUUGUUGACUAGCAGCUGCCAUUUAAUCACAGCCUCUGUUCAAAUCUCGCGGUCAACCUGUUGACAGGAACACUUUUGUUACGUAACCCUAUGUGGUUUAUCUCUGCCAUCUUGCUUCUCCUCUUCCUCUCACCUACACACACACACACACACACACACACACACACACACACAUACAUCUACAUG